Lolium rigidum is the source of this 392-nucleotide long non-coding RNA. RefSeq lists it as uncharacterized. The transcript is spliced from 3 exons. The record is from RefSeq and is a predicted model, not a curated record. Lineage: Eukaryota; Viridiplantae; Streptophyta; Magnoliopsida; Poales; Poaceae.
UUUAGAGUUCAGUUCUCCUGAUACGUGGAUUUCAAAUCCGUGCUAGCUGAACUGCUACGUUGCUGCUGUUGUAUUGCAGAGCUCGAGGGUGCAGAGUAGGAGCGAUGUUAUGAAAACCAAUGAUGGCUGCUCUAGACCUCCAUCUCCAGACCUCAAUGGAGUGCGGCGUCCUGUGCUCUCUAGUGAUGCGCCUGAUUACCAGCGCCUCCAUGUGCGUCGUGUGGGGGUCAAGAGUCCACACCACCGUGAACUGUGAAGAGCUGGAGUCGCCCCGAGUGCGUAUGCGAACUCUCCCCGAGGAUCCUCCCACUCCUCCUCACCAUGUGCUUUGAAGGGCAGAGAGUCUGGCUUCGUGCGUUGCCUCUGAAUUGCUGCACAGUGAGCUGCACCAG